This 464-nucleotide long non-coding RNA is filed under the name Numida meleagris (helmeted guineafowl). RNAcentral's name for it is "lncRNA (ENSNMEG00000010317.1)". Lineage: Eukaryota; Metazoa; Chordata; Aves; Galliformes; Numididae. The record is from RNAcentral.
UUUUUUUUUUAAAAACUGUCUCAAUAGUUGGUAAGCAUUUACUUACAAUUAUUUUUUUCCUCCAGAUGAUGGCAUAAGUAAUUGAUUUGAUAAAAGGCUGAAACAUAUGAAAUCAGUAAACAACCAUCAAGAUGAAUUUGACACACUUCCAAACUCACAAACACCUAGCAAAAGUUUUGUUCAGUACCAAAGGAAUUGAGACAUUUCCCAUGGUGCAGAAUAUCUUCAGUUCCCUCUCUUCAAACUCCGAGGAUCUUCAGAUCUGCAUCCCCUCCUUCCUGUAAAAUAUUCCCAGAAGAAUGUUAUUCAGAGAAGGAUCUCCCAGGUCAUCCAUCAAUGCUGUCAGACCUCAAAAUCUACUAGAGUAUGAUGUGAACCCACAGGAAUCCAGAGACAGAAGUCAUCAAAAUGGAGGCAAGAGAGCAGGACCUUCUGAGCUGGAUUCUUUGAGGCAGGUUGAAUAA